ACUGCAGUCCUCAUGUCAUUGCUACGACUGUUCUCACAGAAGUGACUGAAGUCUGCCCACUUACGAGACUACUGGUUUCUCACUGUCUUACAGCUUCCCACGUCAGGAAACUCCUCUCAUCCCUCCUUCAGGAUAUUUGAGUGUCACCACGCAACGUGCACUGGAAAAUAUUCUUCUCUGUGUCUUUUAACCACUAGUAGAACAUCGAUCUUUCUUCUCAUCUCAGUAAUACCUGCCAUGGUCUACAUUGUGGAGGCACGAAUGUCUGAACAAACUCGGGAUGCUGUCAGCCAAAAGCUCUGUGCAAGAAGACCGGAUAGGAUGUCAAAGGUGUCCAUACCGCCUAGCUCAACAAUAGUCUAUCGGGAGGAUCCUCUAGAAGCAAUAGGGAUAUUGCUUGUGGCAUCUCCAUAUACAGUGCCACUAAACCAAAAAUGACUUCAGCCUAUUAAGCUGUUGUGCUUUUUCUUCUUGUUGUUGUUCUUUAGCUCAACAGCAAUAGGUGUCUAUUUGCCUCAGAAUGUUUUAGUCAUCUGUAAAAAUGUUUGUGUCCAUUUGGAUAUGUUUAUGUGCAUGCAUGCAUGCUUUUAGAGUUCAGGCCUCACGAAGGAUUCCCACAACUCUUUUAUUCUGUUCAUGGAAUCCUCAGAAAGUGGAAAGGGAGCACUGUAAAUCCUUAGUAACUCUUGGAAAAUGAAAACAACAAAAUUUCCUUUGGCCAAUCACUGAGACAACUGCAGGUUUUUAAUGGAAAAAAAUAGAGCCAGAAAACUCCCUAAACAAUGGUGAACUUGAAUUCUGAGCACUGUAGAAAAAUCAUACUUGCAUGAUUAAAGAUUAUGGAAACAAAAUAUAGGGA
This 859-nucleotide long non-coding RNA is filed under the name Equus caballus (horse). Its description in RNAcentral is "lncRNA (ENSECAG00000037528.2)". The record is from RNAcentral. Lineage: Eukaryota; Metazoa; Chordata; Mammalia; Perissodactyla; Equidae.